Molecule: ribosomal RNA, 371 nt
Filed under: Olavius albidoides
Lineage: Eukaryota; Metazoa; Annelida; Clitellata; Tubificida; Naididae
Description: partial 12S ribosomal RNA
Source: RNAcentral
UUAUAGACUACCACGUAUAAUCGGCCAAUAAAGCACUGACCGCUAAUAAACCAAAAACUUUGACGNUACUUGAUAUUAUCAGGGAAACCUGUCUCUUAAUACGAUAAUCCACGAAUAUCUCACCAUAUAUAAAUCCCUAGCUUAUAUAUCGCCGCCAAGUUUAGCUCUAAAGCCCAAACAAUAUAUUUAAUAAUCAAUUAAACAUCAGGUCAAAAUGUAGCUAACAAUAUGGAGUAAAUGGGUUACAUUUCCGAUACACACACACUGAAUAAAUAAUAUUUAUAGAACUUGCCAGUAAUAAUACUUAAUAAUAGUAAUAUAAACAACUCAUCAAGCACGUACAUAUCGCCCGUCACUCUUACUGAAAAGUA